Caenorhabditis elegans is the source of this 262-nucleotide non-coding RNA. Lineage: Eukaryota; Metazoa; Nematoda; Chromadorea; Rhabditida; Rhabditidae. The record is from Ensembl.
UUCAUAAGUUUUUUUAAAAUAUUCCUGAAGAAAAAUUAAAUUUAAAAAAAAACUAUCAUAUCACUGCACUAUCAUAACGUCAACCCCGACGUAAUAUUUUGGCAUAUUGUUGCGUAUGAAUAAACAAGUCUUACUUAUUAUUGAUACGAAAUGUGGAUAGACAAAAAAAUUCUGAGAAAAAGAGCGAAGUGUUUGUUCAAAUAUGGGGAAAGGGCUCUUAUAACAUGAAAUGACUGGAAACAUGACGACAUUGGCGGAUGCG